AUGAUCGAAUUUGACUGGACCGCGGAGGAAUUCUUUUGGGUUGAUGAAGUUGGAACUUUUUAUAGGCAGCUGGUUCUGAAGUGGGAGUAUAAAAUGGCAUGGCCUGGCAAACUCACUUGUAGUUGUAGCUGCUUAUUUCUCUAUGGAUUUCAAGCAUAUGCGAAAAGAAGAUGCAUGUAUGUUAGUGACACCUGCUUCAUGAAGAUUGAGCUUUAUUUUGUUUUGGAUUGUGCUAAAUUAAACGGAAACUUUCUGCAGCAAUCUUUCACUCAGAUCAAUGCAGCAAUCUUUGUAUAA
Non-coding RNA from Vicia faba (fava bean), 297 nucleotides. The record is from the annotation of a GenBank genome assembly. Lineage: Eukaryota; Viridiplantae; Streptophyta; Magnoliopsida; Fabales; Fabaceae.